GGGAGGCAGCAGUGAGGAAUAUUGGUCAAUGGACGAGAGUCUGAACCAGCCAAGUAGCGUGAAGGAUGACUGCCUAUGGGUUGUAAACUUCUUUUAUACGGGAAUAAGUGAGGCACGUGUGCCUUUUUGUAUGUACCGUAUGAAUAAGGAUCGGCUAACUCCGUGCCAGCAGCCGCGGUAAUACGGAGGAUCCGAGCGUUAUCCGGAUUUAUUGGGUUUAAAGGGAGCGUAGGCGGACGCUUAAGUCAGUCGUGAAAGUUUGCGGCUCAACCGUAAAAUUGCAGUUGAUACUGGGUGUCUUGAGUACAGUAGAGGCAGGCGGAAUUCGUGGUGUAGCGGUGAAAUGCUUAGAUAUCACGAAGAACUCCGAUUGCGAAGGCAGCCUGCUGGACUGUAACUGACGCUGAUGCU
RNAcentral lists this ribosomal RNA (411 nucleotides) under uncultured bacterium. RNAcentral describes it as "bacterial SSU rRNA". It matches the Rfam family "Bacterial small subunit ribosomal RNA", at positions 343 to 753 of the family's 1533-position model. The record is from RNAcentral.